Molecule: long non-coding RNA, 1035 nt
Filed under: Phaseolus vulgaris (common bean)
Lineage: Eukaryota; Viridiplantae; Streptophyta; Magnoliopsida; Fabales; Fabaceae
Description: long non-coding RNA (PVUL_LNC002701)
Source: RNAcentral
CACGAAUUGCAACAACAGAACUAGCAUUAGAGACUCUAAAAUGAUGACGGAAGUCAACAAGUUGUCCCCAGCCAACAGACAUCACCUAAAUCAGGAAAUAAUUUUUUACCUCUUGGGAACAUAAGAAUUGAACACCUGCAUUAUAUGUGAGGGCAGAUGGACAUGGACGUGUAAAGCUGUAGAGAUUUAAAUGAGGAAGAAAAUUAUGAUUGCAAUUGAAGGGUUUAAAUCCAAAUUUGAGAUUAGAGAUUUUGAAUGUCAUUCUCAAGCAUAUUUAUCCAUUCAGACAGAAGGAUCAUUGAAUUCAGUAGUAACACAAGGCAAGUGAAACAGUGAUAAAGUAUAAUUGGUAUUAAAUGAACAAAUCCAGUAUCAGAUUUCUAAGUACAAGAACAUAAUUACUCUAUAAUUGAAUCAAACAGAUAAAGACCAAGAGCUUCAUGAUCCUUCAAUAGCAACCACACCCCUGUUUCCUCAUUGUCCAUAAUCCUUCAAUUUGAUGUUUCUCUUGCAAGCUCUCGUGCUUCUUCUCUUGACCAUCUUCUCAGGAUCAUCCACCAUGUGGACAACCUGCAUAAUCAACUUUCGAACAUUUUGAUUUAAUUCUUCUCCCUCUCAGGUUCCUUCUUGAUACUUAACUAAUACUUAACUGAUAUCUCUAAGUCAAAAGAAUGACACAAACGCCAAUGACAUGACCCAAAAGAAAAAUAAUAAGAAGGAUAUUAGUUUACCAGAUUUCAUGUUGACGACACAAUUGGCGAACAAGCAUUCGAGGUCUGAUUGACGAUUGUUGUACUCGAGGUUGCCAACGAAAACCGGUCUCGUCUUCAAAGGAAAAAAUUAGAGCAACGAUGAAUCAAUGCCCUAACCCUAACAACUCAAGAUUCUUGCUCUAUAAAGCAAACAAUAACAAAUUCUUGCUUGCUUCAAAAGAAAAGCUUAGAUUCUAAGUCAAUGGCUCUGUAUAGUAGAAUCGGAAACUACUUGUUUUUAAAACUUGAAAUGUGGUAUCACUCGUUCGAGAAGAAAUGAAAC